Molecule: ribosomal RNA, 439 nt
Filed under: uncultured bacterium
Lineage: Bacteria
Description: partial 16S ribosomal RNA
Rfam family: Bacterial small subunit ribosomal RNA
Source: RNAcentral
CUACGGGUCGCUGCAGUGAGGAAUAUUGCACAAUGGGGGGAACCCUGAUGCAGUAACGCCGCGUGGAGGAUGACGCAUUUCGGUGUGUAAACUCCUUUUAUAUGUCAAGAAAAUGACGGUAGCAUAUGAAUAAGCACCGGCUAACUCCGUGCCAGCAGCCGCGGUAAUACGGAGGGUGCAAGCGUUACUCGGAAUCACUGGGCGUAAAGGACGCGUAGGCGGGUUGGAAAGUCAGGUGUGAAAUCCUACAGCUUAACUGUAGAACUGCACUUGAAACUUCUAAUCUAGAGUAUGGGAGGGGGAGAUGGAAUUAGUGGUGUAGGGGUAAUAUCCGUAGAUAUCACUAGGAAUACCUAAAGCGAAGGCGAUCUCCUGGAACAUUACUGACGCUAAGGCGUGAAAGCGUGGGGAGCAAACAGGAUUAGAUACCCCUGUAGUC